This 450-nucleotide ribosomal RNA is filed under the name uncultured bacterium. Its description in RNAcentral is "partial 16S ribosomal RNA". It matches the Rfam family "Bacterial small subunit ribosomal RNA", at positions 354 to 796 of the family's 1533-position model. The record is from RNAcentral.
GUGGGGAAUAUUGGACAAUGGGCGCAAGCCUGAUCCAGCCAUACCGCGUGGGUGAAGAAGGCCUUCGGGUUGUAAAGCCCUUUUGUUGGGAAAGAAAUCCUGUCGAUUAAUACUCGGUGGGGAUGACGGUACCCAAAGAAUAAGCACCGGCUAACUUCGUGCCAGCAGCCGCGGUAAUACGAAGGGUGCAAGCGUUACUCGGAAUUACUGGGCGUAAAGCGUGCGUAGGUGGUGGUGUAAGUCUGCUGUGAAAGCCCUGGGCUCAACCUGGGAAUUGCAGUGGAUACUGGAUCACUAGAGUGUGGUAGAGGGAUGCGGAAUUUCUGGUGUAGCAGUGAAAUGCGUAGAGAUCAGAAGGAACAUCCGUGGCGAAGGCGGCAUCCUGGGCCAACACUGACACUGAGGCACGAAAGCGUGGGGAGCAAACAGGAUUAGAUACCCGAGUAGUCC